AGAGUUUGAUCAUGGCUCAGAUUGAACGCUGGCGGAAUGCUUUACACAUGCAAGUCGAACGGCAGCACGGAGAGCUUGCUCUCUGGUGGCGAGUGGCGAACGGGUGAGUAAUAUAUCGGAACGUGUCCAAUAAUGGGGGAUAACGAGUCGAAAGAUUCGCUAAUACCGCAUACGCCCUACGGGGGAAAGCAGGGGAUCGUAAGACCUUGCGUUAAUGGAGCGGCCGAUAUCUGAUUAGCUAGUUGGUGAGGUAAAGGCUCACCAAGGCGACGAUCAGUAGCUGGUUUGAGAGAACGACCAGCCACACUGGAACUGAGACACGGUCCAGACUCCUACGGGAGGCAGCAGUGGGGAAUUUUGGACAAUGGGGGCAACCCUGAUCCAGCCAUUCCGCGUGAGUGAAGAAGGCCUUCGGGUUGUAAAGCUCUUUCGCAAGGGAAGAAAACUUAUGAUCGAAUAAAUCAUGAGGUUGACGGUACCUUGAUAAGAAGCACCGGCUAACUACGUGCCAGCAGCCGCGGUAAUACGUAGGGUGCGAGCGUUAAUCGGAAUUACUGGGCGUAAAGCGUGCGCAGGCGGUUUUGUAAGUCGGAUGUGAAAUCCCCGGGCUCAACCUGGGAACUGCGUUCGAAACUGCAAGGCUAGAGUGUGUCAGAGGGGGGGUAGAAUUCCACGUGUAGCAGUGAAAUGCGUAGAGAUGUGGAGGAAUACCAAUGGCGAAGGCAGCCCCCUGGGAUAACACUGACGCUCAUGCACGAAAGCGUGGGGAGCAAACAGGAUUAGAUACCCUGGUAGUCCACGCCCUAAACGAUGUCAACUAGUUGUUGGUAGAGUAAAAUCUAUGAGUAACGUAGCUAACGCGUGAAGUUGACCGCCUGGGGAGUACGGUCGCAAGAUUAAAACUCAAAGGAAUUGACGGGGGCCCGCACAAGCGGUGGAUUAUGUGGAUUAAUUCGAUGCAACGCGAAAAAUCUUACCUGGCCUUGACAUGUACCGAAUUGAGCAGAGAUGUUCAAGUGCUCGAAAGAGAACGGUAACACAGGUGCUGCAUGGCUGUCGUCAGCUCGUGUCGUGAGAUGUUGGGUUAAGUCCCGCAACGAGCGCAACCCUUGCCAUUAAUUGCCAUCAUUUAGUUGGGCACUUUAAUGGGACUGCCGGUGACAAACCGGAGGAAGGUGGGGAUGACGUCAAGUCCUCAUGGCCCUUAUGGCCAGGGCUCCACACGUAAUACAAUGGUCGGUACAAAGGGUUGCCAACCCGCGAGGGGGAGCCAAUCCCAGAAAGCCGAUCGUAGUCCGGAUUGUAGUCUGCAACUCGACUGCAUGAAGUCGGAAUCGCUAGUAAUCGCGGAUCAGCAUGUCGCGGUGAAUACGUUCCCGGGCCUUGUACACACCGCCCGUCACACCAUGGGAGUGGGUUUUACCAGAAGUAGUUAGUCUAACCGUAAGGGAGACGAUUACCACGGUAGGAUUCAUGACUGGGGUGAAGUCGUAACGAAGGUAACCG
This 1506-nucleotide ribosomal RNA is filed under the name uncultured bacterium. RNAcentral's name for it is "bacterial SSU rRNA". It matches the Rfam family "Bacterial small subunit ribosomal RNA". The record is from RNAcentral.